UUUAUCUCCACUCCAUAAUUUACUCCAAAAAUGGAGUGAGAAAUGGAGUAUGAACAAAAAAUAAAAAAUCUUUCUAUUUAUGGAGUAAUCACUUUUUUGUUUCUUCACUACUUCAUUUUUCACUCCAUUUUGCAGUAAAUUAUGGAGUGGAGAUGAAAAUGCUCUUAGUAACCUUCCACUUGGGGUUCGCUCAGAGUUAGGAGAGACUAUUUUUUUUUUUUUUGUCAUCUGGUAGAUUAAGAUUAGAUCAAACAUCAUUUUACAUCAAGACGCUAGAGACAUUACCUACCCUUCCAGAGCCAAGAGCCAGCGAGGUAACAUGUACCACCCGGAGCCAAAAGAUGGAUACAACACAAACCCAUAAAACUAACAAAGACACGAAGAAAAAAGAUGUCGAGAAGCAGGAGAGUAAAACAGAACUUCAGGAGAGGAGUGCUCCACUUUGCGCUCAAAGACGAGCUUACCGAAAUAGAACUCAUCAACAGUUAACACAAACUGAGAGGAGCAGCGAGAUAGACUAGACGCACACGAACAUCACCAAACGUAUAAACUGAAUCGAGAGAGGUUAGAAUCCUUAACCGUCGCUGUAAACACCCUUUAAUCCCAACUAAGUCUCGCCAUUGGACCUUGAGUGUGCUCUCCCCGCGCCUCAUACGCACCAUCACCCCACGGCGAAGCCUAAAAAAGCUUCCCGGAAACGUCUUAUUCACACAGGAGAGACUAUUUAUAUAUCUUGUUAUUUUUAUAAUAUUUUAUUCUAAUAAAUUUUAUGCUAUUGAGGAGAAUGAUCGCAUUAACCUAUAAGAACAACUCUAUUGUAAAAUUCUAAUUAAAUAUCUCAAAACAGUAAUAUAAUUAUUAGUUGAAUAUUUGAAUAUUUGAAACUUCCAGUCUAAUAAUGAAGGCUGAAGUUUUCAAAUGUUGAUAUACCUAGUCAAUAUUUUUUUAAUACUCAACCAAAACCUUAACAGUUAUAAUAAAACUUUUCUAAAUUUUUACCUAUCAUAAUAGAAGUUGCAUAUUUUCAAUGUGUAAUUUUCUAAAGUUGAAUCGUACUUAUAAAAAAUUAAAUGUAUUUUUUAUUUACAUAAUAAUUUUCUGACGAUAAAUUUUUAACUUAGGUUUGCAUAUCUAAUCUAUUAAUAAACAUUUUUGUAACAACAUUUAACAACAUAUAGAUACAUAAACGUAUUUUGAUAAAAAAAAUGAUACAUAAACGUAUCAGGUUAAAAUGAUCUUUAUUAAUCUAUGCAUUUGGAUAUGGAAUAUACAGACUAAAUCAGUGACACUCACUAAAUAUAUAUAUAAUAUAUUUAUAUUUUUUCACCAAAAAUUGUAGUCUACAACAUACAAAGUAUGAUAUUUUUCUUUUUGAAUUAGUAUUUUAAUGACUCAUAUGAAUCGUUUGCUAGUCAAAAUAUUAACCUUAAUAUUUACUUUAAAACAUACCUAUAAUCAAAAAGAAAUAAAAAUAUUUUUAAAUUUAAUUAAAACAAUAUAACGUGAAUCCAUUUGGUAAUUUAAUGGAAUGCUCAGUUAAUAAAAAAUGCAAGACAUACAAACUCAUAAUCCUAACUAACAACAUGCAGACAUAUCAUAAUUGUCAAAUAAAAUGAAUUCCAAAUUUAAAACUGUAGUAACACUUAUAACAAUAUGUUUUCAUAUAAUUUUAGAAAAUUUUAAAUCGAAAUAAAAGUCUGUAUUUAACGCGGAUCAUAAUCUAAUCUAGUUCUAUUAUAAGAUUAGGCUUCAUAACUCGGGUGUAAAAAAAUUGUAAACACUCUUCAUAUCAAUUCAUCAGUCCAUUAAACCGUAUAGAGUAACAACGACCCCUGCAUCUAAUCAGAUUUAGAACCAAGCCGUUAUAUACUUAUUAACUAACUCACUGUAUGUUUAAGCUACAUUUUGUAUCUUUUUGCUGAGAAGGAUGCUAUCAAUAUCAGACAAAAACGUUUUUUUUUUUAAAAAAAAAAAUAUCAGACAAAAACGUCAAUGAAUAGGGAAAUCAAACAAGCAAUUAACAAAUAAAUUUUUAUUAGAAACAAGAAUAUGAGACUUAUUUUGCUGUACUUUUGUAAAAUAGAAUUAUUUAACUGCCUAUUCACAUUUUUAUUUUACUCCUAAAUAAUUUUCUGCAUCUAGCAUUUAAAUCACUUCAGGUUCAGGAUAUUAUAGUUCUUUGGCUAACAAUGUAUUACGUAUUUCGCACCGCUGAACUGUGCUAUUUAAUUGCCUAUUCACAUUAUUAUUUCGCAUCUAGCAUUUAAAUCACUUCAGGAUAUCAUAUUUUACUUUGGCUAACGAUAUAAUCAUAUAAUACGUUUUUCGCACCGCUGAACUAUAAUAUUAAAUACCCUGUUUUUCUGUAGUAAUAGUAUCAACUUGGAAAAAGAGAGAAUUUUUUUUUGUUUCAAGCCGAUGACCGGAGAUUUCUAUAGUUCUGAUAUCGGCUUGUUUGAUUCAUUUUACUUUUUUUUUCUUUGAUUUGUUUUAAUUUCUAUCAUUUAAUGUGUUUGAUUGCCAAUUUAUUUUAAAUUUGGUAAAACGUUUUAUUAUUAUUUUGUAUGUUUUUCCAAUAGAUUUGGUAAGACAAAAACUUCGGUUCAAUUGAACCGUUUAGAAAAUUUAGUUGACAGAUCUAUCGUGGGUGGUGGCGAUGGAUUUCUUCAAUCGUUGAUGGUUCUUUAUUUGAGUGUGAUGGAGUUCUUGCUACAAAUUAUGGUUACUUCGAAAGACAACAUGAAAUUUUAUGAAAUGGUAAUCUCUUUGACUCUAUUUUCUUUCAAUAGAGCAAUAUAAAAAGUUGUUUUCUCUCAGUGACUCUUAUUGAAAUAUUAAAAAAGAGCGGCAAUCGUUCUCAAUUCAGAUUGAACAUGGUGUUUUGGAUUAAUAUAAAUAUUAUCUCUCAUGAAAUUCAAUUAUUUCAAAAGCAAAUAUGGAGCUUUUAUAUGAAAAAUCUUUAAUCAUCCACACAAAAGAUAGAUGUGUGUUAGUUUACUUUAAAUCUCUACUGGUGUAUAUAUUUAUUUUGCUAGUUUUCAUUUUUCAUUGUUUAAAAUUUUUUGGGUAAAAAGUUUAAUAAUACACGACAAAAAAAAUAAUAAUAGUAUCAACUAUGACUUAAAAGAGUUACAUUUUCGUCCAACGACCACCUAUACAUGUAAUGAAAAAGGAUUAAUUUAAUUGUUACCCAACUAACAAUAUUGUUUGCUGUACUAUUCUAAGCCGACGUCUUAUUGACAGUAGAUGGUUGGAACCCAACAUGUUCUCUGACAAUAAAUUCAUUAUUUGCUUAAAUUCGAAACCACUAACUAUAUUAGUUAAAUGAAUAGAUUAGACUUUUAGAGUUAUUAAUAUUCCUUAUAAGUUUAUGGUCGUGUUCUUACUCCAUUUUUUUCCUGGACGGGUGACCUAACUCCUUGAACUUGAGUUUUCAAUCGCGAGAUAAAAAAAGAAAUAUACAGUUAUAUUUUACGUAAAUAUGUAUGGACUAUGACAAAAUGCUAGAUGUGAGUAAUUGAGUUACGUUACAGAAGAGACUUGGCGACCUCUCUCGACCCACGUUUUGGUCCCCGAAAUUAAUCUUUUGGCCCUAUAUAAAAUCUUUUUCUGAGUCCAUUUCUGGAUCGAAAUUGGGAAGGCCUUCAACGAUCAUGUGAGAUACGCAUUCACUAAAAACAUUACCUAACUAGCUAGUUAAAUAAUUGAACGAAAGCACUAGAUGAUUAGUUUCCUGAUAUUUGAUGUUUUAUAUAACGUAUAUGUAUUUCAUUAAAAUAAACAAAAUAGAUAGACAGAAGAAAGAUCCAGUAAACAUGCUUGGAUAAAGUAAUGAGAACAUAUAAAUAGUUUAAUCAAUUAAUUUUGUUGUUAUCGAAACGUGGAAUGUAUAAAUAUUUUAUAGUACGUGAUUACUCAAUCAUGCAUCCUUCAGCACCAGCAUCUGUAUAUACGGCCUAAACCUAAGCACUGAUUAAUAUGUACAAAAGAAACGUCAAAGCCUGUAUAAUAAGCAAAUAAAACAUGUUGCUAGUUAUUAUAAUUAUGAUAUCUAAAUUUUAAUUUCCAAAAAUAUAUAAAUUAAUUUUCAAAUAAUUUUAGUUAUCUUUUCUACGGAUUACAAUAGGCGCUAAACGUAAAUAUUCGGAAUACAAUUUUCAGUUAUGUAGGUUUUUUGGUCAAAAAAAGUAUUACAAAUUUUCUAAGGUUGGAUAGCACAAAGCGGUAUGAAACAUGUGAUUGUUAACCGAAAGCUCGUAGCUUGAUGGUAAAGUGUUCACGGCUGUGAGUUUUGACACCUAUGUUAAUUAAAUAUGUGAUUGUUGUAGUCAAUUAUUGCUGGUUAAAUAGGCUGCGAUUUUGGACUUUUUAGUUAACAAAAUUCUGUGUACAUACAGACAGAUUAAUGUAAUGGCUGUGUGGGUUGUCUUUGAAACAGUGGCUAGUUGAUACAUACAAUACCCCCAGAUACUUUUAAUGGUGUUUAUUACCCUUUUUUCUCUUCUUCUUGCUGGAUUCUUCGUCUACCACCGCAAUAUCUGCUUAACUAACAAAAAAACUAUUGAGACAUUAAGUGGAGAGAAUAAAUGGAGAGGACAAUUUGGAGAAGAAGAUGGGCGAAGCAAAGGCAAGUGCUGCUACUCUCAAUGCAGUCAUGACCAACACGGAGCUGGAACUUUAAGUAAAUGGAGAGGACUUUGAUCCGAGGCCAUCACUGCCAAGCGGAAUAUAUAUGAUAAAGAAAAUACAGGAAGAUUUCCGAAAUUGUUUUUCCAUUAAUCAUUAUCUUCAAGACAAGCUUUCCGGAAACCAUAUAUAAAACUGAAUAGCUUUAGUCUUUAUGUAGUGAAAUAGGUUCCAGUUCAAAAACGUUUUUUUUUUACACA
Brassica napus (rape) is the source of this 4886-nucleotide long non-coding RNA. RefSeq lists it as uncharacterized. NCBI's taxonomy places the organism in Eukaryota, Viridiplantae, Streptophyta, Magnoliopsida, Brassicales, Brassicaceae. The transcript is spliced from 2 exons. The record is from RefSeq and is a predicted model, not a curated record.